ACGUAGGAUGCAAGCGUUGUCCGGAAUUAUUGGGCGUAAAGAGCGAGCAGGCGGCAUAUCAAGUUGGACGUGAAAUUUUAGGGCUUAACCCUAAAGGGUCGUCCAAAACUGGUAAGCUAGAGUGCAGGAGAGGAAAGCGGAAUUCCCGGUGUAGUGGUGAAAUGCGUAGAUAUCGGGAGGAACACCAGAGGCGAAGGCGGCUUUCUGGCCUGUAACUGACGCUGAGGCGCGAAGGCUGGGGUAGCGAACAGGA
Molecule: ribosomal RNA, 253 nt
Filed under: uncultured prokaryote
Description: partial 16S ribosomal RNA
Rfam family: Bacterial small subunit ribosomal RNA
Source: RNAcentral